AACGAUGGAAAUAGCGGGUUUACGAGAGGAUACAAAGGUACUUCGAAGGUACAAGUUGUGUCCGUGGUAACCUAACCCAGACCUAUCAUUUAUAUACUGGUUUGUUCGCCCUACUUCCAUUCAAAACUACGAAAGGGUAUUCUUGUAAACUCCUUUUUUGCGAACUCCUCCUGAAGGUAAAGAUUUGCUUGUUUCUCACCCGCUAAAAUGUAUUCUUU
This 218-nucleotide non-coding RNA is filed under the name Lasioglossum lativentre. Lineage: Eukaryota; Metazoa; Arthropoda; Insecta; Hymenoptera; Halictidae. The record is from RNAcentral.